UGUAAAAGAGGAUUAAGCUUUUGGGGACUUCCUUGCAAACUCCUGCUCUAGCGUAUUCAAUUUGAUACUUAGGGGGUUCCAAACCUUUUUUUAGGAAGAGGUGGGUAGUUAUAAAUCAAUCGUAUUAUUCUUUCCCACUGAGUCCUUUAGGGUUAGUGUUUGGGUCCACACUGGCUCACUGGCAGCACUCCAUGCCAGCCUCGAGCACAGAGGAGUGGUUCCCUGCCUGUGGCUCUCCUGGUGGGUCAGAUGGGACAUCUCCCAGGCUGCAGAGCCUCGGGGGACCCAUCCGCCGACCUUGAGCAGCCGCAUCGUUACAUUAUUUACCCACAGGCCAAGUCUGUUCACAGAGUGACUCCAAGGAGCCUUGCCCGUGUUGACACCAGCGUUGGCCGGACCAUCGCCGGUUCCAGCCUCCAGCCAGGGUUACCAGGAGGAUAGGGACUGGUCCGCUUCCUCUCUUGCCCCUGCCUGCUGCUGCUCACGACUGAAGCUGAAGGAGAUACACAGAUAUGGAUACGGGACCAGGUCUUGCUAACCUUGGCGUCUCAUCUUUGCCCGUGAUCAUUGUGAAGGACUGAUCAUGAUAUUUGUGUUUCUGGAUCUCACUAUAUCAGAGCUGGACCCCAGGACUUCAUAGUCAAGUAAACCAAUAAAUCCCUUCUUUGCUUAAACUAA
Long non-coding RNA from Felis catus (domestic cat), 678 nucleotides. RefSeq lists it as uncharacterized. NCBI's taxonomy places the organism in Eukaryota, Metazoa, Chordata, Mammalia, Carnivora, Felidae. The transcript is spliced from 3 exons. The record is from RefSeq and is a predicted model, not a curated record.